UACGGGGGGAGCAAGCGUUGUUCGGAUUUACUGGGCGUAAAGGGCGCGUAGGCGGCGUGACAAGUCACUUGUGAAAUCUCCGGGCUUAACUCGGAACGGUCAAGUGAUACUGUCGUGCUAGAGUACAGAAGGGGCAACUGGAAUUCUCGGUGUAGCGGUGAAAUGCGUAGAUAUCGAGAGGAACACCUGCGGCGAAGGCGGGUUGCUGGGCUGAUACUGACGCUGAGGCGCGAAAGUCAGGGGAGCGAACGGG
This 253-nucleotide ribosomal RNA is filed under the name uncultured bacterium. RNAcentral describes it as "partial 16S ribosomal RNA". It matches the Rfam family "Bacterial small subunit ribosomal RNA", at positions 524 to 776 of the family's 1533-position model. The record is from RNAcentral.